AGAGUUUGAUCCUGGCUCAGGAUGAACGCUGGCGGCGUGCUUAACACAUGCAAGUCGAACGAAGCACUUUAUUUGAUUUCCUUCGGGACUGAUUAUUUUGUGACUGAGUGGCGGACGGGUGAGUAACGCGUGGGUAACCUGCCUUGUACAGGGGGAUAACAGUUGGAAACGGCUGCUAAUACCGCAUAAGCGCACGGCAUCGCAUGAUGCAGUGUGAAAAACUCCGGUGGUAUAAGAUGGACCCGCGUUGGAUUAGCUAGUUGGUGAGGUAACGGCCCACCAAGGCGACGAUCCAUAGCCGACCUGAGAGGGUGACCGGCCACAUUGGGACUGAGACACGGCCCAAACUCCUACGGGAGGCAGCAGUGGGGAAUAUUGCACAAUGGGCGAAAGCCUGAUGCAGCGACGCCGCGUGAGCGAAGAAGUAUUUCGGUAUGUAAAGCUCUAUCAGCAGGGAAGAUAAUGACGGUACCUGACUAAGAAGCACCGGCUAAAUACGUGCCAGCAGCCGCGGUAAUACGUAUGGUGCAAGCGUUAUCCGGAUUUACUGGGUGUAAAGGGAGCGCAGGCGGCGCGGCAAGUCUGAUGUGAAAGCCCGGGGCUCAACCCCGGUACUGCAUUGGAAACUGUCGUACUAGAGUGUCGGAGGGGUAAGUGGAAUUCCUAGUGUAGCGGUGAAAUGCGUAGAUAUUAGGAGGAACACCAGUGGCGAAGGCGGCUUACUGGACGAUAACUGACGCUGAGGCUCGAAAGCAUGGGGAGCAAACAGGAUUAGAUACCCUGGUAGUCCACGCCGUAAACGAU
RNAcentral lists this ribosomal RNA (804 nucleotides) under uncultured bacterium. Its description in RNAcentral is "bacterial SSU rRNA". It matches the Rfam family "Bacterial small subunit ribosomal RNA", at positions 8 to 810 of the family's 1533-position model. The record is from RNAcentral.